This 67-nucleotide transfer RNA is filed under the name Marmota monax (woodchuck). RNAcentral's name for it is "tRNA.Ala". Lineage: Eukaryota; Metazoa; Chordata; Mammalia; Rodentia; Sciuridae. The record is from RNAcentral.
GGUUGUAGCUCAGUGGUAGAGCGCUUGUCUUGCACGGGUGAGGCACUGGGUUUGAUCCUCAGCACCA